Molecule: ribosomal RNA, 479 nt
Filed under: uncultured bacterium
Lineage: Bacteria
Description: partial 16S ribosomal RNA
Rfam family: Bacterial small subunit ribosomal RNA
Source: RNAcentral
GAUGCACGCUAGCGGGAGGCCUAACACAUGCAAGCCGAGCGGUAUUUGUCCUUCGGGACAGAGAGAGCGGCGUACGGGUGCGGAACACGUGUGCAACCUGCCUUUAUCUGGGGGAUAGCCUUUCGAAAGGAAGAUUAAUACCCCAUAAUAUAUCGAAUGGCAUCAUUCGAUAUUGAAAACUCCGGUGGAUAGAGAUGGGCACGCGCAAGAUUAGAUAGUUGGUGAGGUAACGGCUCACCAAGUCAGUGAUCUUUAGGGGGCCUGAGAGGGUGAUCCCCCACACUGGUACUGAGACACGGACCAGACUCCUACGGGAGGCAGCAGUGAGGAAUAUUGGACAAUGGGUGAGAGCCUGAUCCAGCCAUCCCGCGUGAAGGACUAAGGCCCUAUGGGUUGUAAACUUCUUUUAUACUGGGAUAAACCUACUUACGUGUAAGUAGCUGAAGGUACAGUAUGAAUAAGCACCGGCUAACUCCGUG